RNAcentral lists this ribosomal RNA (374 nucleotides) under uncultured organism. RNAcentral describes it as "partial 16S ribosomal RNA". It matches the Rfam family "Bacterial small subunit ribosomal RNA", at positions 527 to 896 of the family's 1533-position model. The record is from RNAcentral.
GUAGGUGGCAAGCGUUGUCCGGAAUUAUUGGGCGUAAAGCGCGCGCAGGCGGUUCUUUAAGUCUGAUGUGAAAGCCCACGGCUCAACCGUGGAGGGUCAUUGGAAACUGGAGAACUUGAGUACAGAAGAGGAAAGCGGAAUUCCACGUGUAGCGGUGAAAUGCGUAGAGAUGUGGAGGAACACCAGUGGCGAAGGCGGCUUCCUGGUCUGUAACUGACGCCGAGGCGCGAAAGCGUGGGGAGCAAACAGGGAUUAGAUACCCUGGUAGUCCACGCCGUAAACGAUGAGUGCUAAGUGUUAGGGGGGUUUCCGCCCCCUUAGUGCUGCAGCUAACGCAUUAAGCACUCCGCCUGGGGAGUACGGCCGCAAGGCUG